GGGGGGAGAGUCAGUGGACCGCGGUGGGGUGGUGAGUGGGGACGACGGGAGGCGCAGAGCGACAUGGCUAGAGCGCGACGCGUUCGUCAGCUUCGCGGGGGAGGGCCUGGCACUGGCAGCAUUCAUUGAUCCUGCCGCUGCCGCCACCGCUGCUAGUGCUGCUGCUUACCAUAACUCGCUACUCUGCACCGCCAUCCACCUUCCACCACCGCGCUGCGACAGCAUUAACGUGCCGGAGGUAUAGCUAGCCUUGCGUUGCUUGGAGAGAGAGAGAGAGCGAUGGGGAUCGACCUCAACACCGUGGAGGAGGACGGGGAGACGGCGG
This 325-nucleotide long non-coding RNA is filed under the name Hordeum vulgare. RNAcentral's name for it is "long non-coding RNA (HVUL_LNC002132)". Lineage: Eukaryota; Viridiplantae; Streptophyta; Magnoliopsida; Poales; Poaceae. The record is from RNAcentral.